RNAcentral lists this small RNA (629 nucleotides) under Malus domestica (apple). RNAcentral's name for it is "sRNA MD02G0107300". The record is from RNAcentral. Lineage: Eukaryota; Viridiplantae; Streptophyta; Magnoliopsida; Rosales; Rosaceae.
GAGAGAGAUCCAAACAGAGAGAGAGAUGAAGUGGUGAGAGGAAGCGUAAAGCUACUCAAUUUUAUAAGGUUUUGUGAGGAAACAAAUUCCUUAAUUAGUGAUGCGAUUGGUGUCUCCUUUUCUAUAAAGGAUGGCAUACCGAGCUUAGUACCAACAGAUGGCAAGACACUCGAGGUGGAUGAUACAGUUAAACCUGAAGAUUCUGCAGAAUCGUCGGACAAGCACGAAGCGGAUUGAAUAGGCAGUCGCUAGGUCAAAUUGUGAAACUUGUGGUAUUGUUCCCGAGUCACUGUUGCGGGGUUUAUUGCGAUUUUUUUUGGUAGGUUGCCUCCUCUUGACAAUCUCUUUUAAGCCAUUUGUUGAACCGAUUUAUUCGUGCUUUUGGUAGAUGGAAGGUCACAUCACCAAGUAUUCUUAAAUCGGCAUUUCAAUUUUUAUCCAUUUGUGAGGAAAUGCCUGAGAAUUCAUGUAUGACUUGUUACUCAGUACCGUUCAAAUCAUUAUGUGCUUCAUUAUCUGAGAUGAACUCGGCUAGGGAAGUUGUCUGACAUUUAUUCCGAGAUGAACAAUUGUACUGAGAGUUGUCGUAAAUUUUACUGUUGAGGUGAAUAAAUUCAUUCAUCGCUUCC